RNAcentral lists this ribosomal RNA (460 nucleotides) under uncultured bacterium. Its description in RNAcentral is "partial 16S ribosomal RNA". It matches the Rfam family "Bacterial small subunit ribosomal RNA", at positions 338 to 795 of the family's 1533-position model. The record is from RNAcentral.
CCUACGGGAGGCAGCAGUGAGGAAUAUUGGUCAAUGGACGCAAGUCUGAACCAGCCAUGCCGCGUGCAGGAAGACGGCUCUAUGAGUUGUAAACUGCUUUUGUACGAGGGUAAACGCAGAUACGCGUAUCUGUCUGAAAGUAUCGUACGAAUAAGGAUCGGCUAACUCCGUGCCAGCAGCCGCGGUAAUACGGAGGAUUCAAGCGUUAUCCGGAUUUAUUGGGUGUAAAGGGUGCGUAGGCGGUCGGAUAAGUUAGCGGUGAAAUCCCGAGGCUCAACUUCGGAAUUGCCUCUGAUACUGUUCGGCGAGAGAGUAGUUGCGGUAGGCGGAAUGUAUGGUGUAGCGGUGAAAUGCUUAGAGAUCAUACAGAACACCGAUUGCGAAGGCAGCUUACCGAGCUACUUCUGACGUUGAGGCACGAAAGCGUGGGGAGCAAACAGGAUUAGAUACCCCUGUAGUC